AUGGCUUGCUCUGCAAGGAUUUUGGUGACAGCCUGGUGCUUUUUUGUUGGCAUCUCUGUUUCUGUGCCAGGAUGGCAAGAACUGGUCUAUGGGCUCCCACCUCCUUGUGAGAGCUACAUUUACUGCACUGGGGACCUCCUGAAGCAGGUCCAGCUGGCCAGGCUCUUCUCUGAUGACAAACACUUUGUUGACAUGCCGUUGCGGGAGUCUCCAGAACUAGUUCUGAAGAAGUUUCAGCAGCUAGUGAAUGUGACUCCAGGGGGGAUAUUGUCCAAAGAGCAGCUGCAACAGUUUGUGAGCUCAUCCUUCAGUGACCCUGGACAGGAGUUUGAGCAAUGGGAACCUCAGGACUGGAUGAGCAGCCCCCAGAUUUUAGCCAAGAUUUCUGACCAGGAACUCCAGGCAUGGGCAUCGGAUCUGAAUGCCAAGUGGAAAUCCCUAGGGAGAAAGAUCAAAGAUGACGUUAGGACUCGGCCGACGCUUUACUCUCAGAUUUAUGUGCCGCACCCUCUGAUGGUGCCCGGUGGCAGGUUCAUUGAAUAUUACUACUGGGAUUCCUACUGGGUGAUCGAAGGGCUGCUCCUCUCUGAAAUGGCAGCCACGGCCAAGGGGAUGAUACAGAACUUCCUGUACCUGGUGGAAAGGUAUGGGCACAUCCCGAAUGGAGGGCGAGUCUAUUACCUACGCCGGAGCCAGCCACCUUUCCUCACUCUGAUGAUGGAUGCCUACCUGGCCCAUGCCAAUGACACAGACUUUCUCAGGGAGAAUAUCCAUCUGCUGGAGGUAGAGUACGAGUUCUGGCAGAGGAAUCGCUCUGUGAGCAUCACAGUUGGGGACAGGAAUCACACUCUGAACUACUACAACGUCCAGAUCGGGGAGCCCAGACCAGAGUCCUACAGCAAAGACUGGGAGUUGGCAAGUGAUUUAAAUGAAGAUGCCAGGCAGGAGCUCUGGGCAGAGCUAAAAUCAGCAGCAGAGUCAGGGUGGGACUUUUCCUCUCGCUGGUUCCUCUCCUGGCCUUCCUCACUCCCUGCGACACUGAAGGAUACCAAAGCCAGGGCUGUAGUGCCAGUGGAUCUGAAUGCCUUUCUGUGCAAGACCGAGCACCUGCUGGCUUCAUUCUACAGGAUACUGGGAAACACCACCAAGGCUGCCCAGUUCCAGGCUGCUCUGCAGCGCAGGCUCGAGGCUGUCCAAGCUGUCUUCUGGAAUGAGGCUGCUGGAGUCUGGCUGGACUUCAACCUCCUGAAGAAGCAGCCAAACCCAGCCUUCUUCCCCUCCAACCUGGCACCCCUGUGGACGGACUGCUUCUCAGACCAGGCUGCAGCUGAGAGGGCAGUGCGGUACUUAGAGGGGAGCACAGUGCUGUCCUACAAGAACGGGCUCCCUACCUCACUUUCCAGGACUGGGGAGCAGUGGGACCUGCCCAAUGCCUGGCCUCCACUGCAGCAUAUGGUGAUUGCAGGUUUGGCCAAGUCCAGCUCCUCGAGAGCCAAAGAAAUUGCCUUUGACCUGGCCCAGAACUGGGUCAGAACCAACUUUGCCUUAUAUAAGAAGUACCAGGCCAUGUUCGAGAAGUACAACGUGGAUGGAGAUGGGAAGCCAGGGACAGGAGGAGAGUACCAAGUCCAGGUCCCCCAGGAGAGCCAGUCCCCUCCAGGCCAGAGGAAAGGCAGCGAACAUCCAGGUCACUGCAAAGAGCACAGGGGAGUGUGGGUGUCCCGGAUGCAAAGCAGGAGCAGGCCUGGCUGGGCCCAGCCUCUGGAGCGGGGAGACAGCGGGGGGCCGCUGGUUUGCCAAGAUGAACUCACCUGGCGCCUAGUGGGUAUCGUGAGCUGGGGCACGGGGUGUGCUGAACCCAACUACCCUGGGGUUUACACCAAGGUGGCCGAAUUCCUGGACUGGAUUUAUCAGAUCAUCGAGCAAGAGCCUUCCAGAGGCAGGAAAUCAGAAGCGCAAGCCGGCUCCCUCUGCUUUGGACUGCGCAGAGCUGAGAGGCACAGAGGCAGGGCAAUCAGCAGCACAACAUGCACCUAAAUACAGAGGGAUGGAAAAAUACUCCAAAAGGCCUAGAGGGCCCUGCUCCCUGUGGGAAAGGUGGGCGGACGGCAAAGGGUCCCUCGCAGCUGAAUUCUCCCCCACUGAGGUAAAGAGUUUAAUCCGAGCCUUGUUCCAGAACACAGAGAGGAGAGCAGCGGCCCUUGUGAAAAUUAAAUAGCCUUGUGUUUACUCCUGUGCAAUAGACCUUUUCCUGGGAAAGCAACAGUAAAUCAGGUUUCAAACUCUUAUUUGGAUUUAACCCUUUUUCCUAAUGAGUUUAGCUUUAUGAAAGCACUUCCUAAAGGCCUGGCCAAUGGGAAAAAACUUCACCCAGCUCAGCAUCUAUACAAUAAAUGUAGCAAUUUAAUGCAGCUUGGCCUCCAAAAGCAAAGGAGAGUAACUCCUUGGCACUAGCCGGUGCUACUUCGUCCACUACCCAGAGAAGUGCCGUGCUGUAAAACUCUGGCUCCUGACAUGUAGUCUACCAGCCCGGACCCAUUUCGGGCGAUACGGGGUAACUUAUCAGCUAGAAAAAUUUCAUUGCUACCGUGCUAAGCACAUUUGUGGAGGUCAUAACUGUGGUGGCGGUAGAUUCUGGAAGCGGCGCAGUUUUUCUAGGUCAUACAAUGUUUAAAUGGGACCGGGCACCAAAUUUGAAAACAUCUGAAAAUCACAAGAAGGGCCGUAACUCAGAGGCAUAGUUUAAUUUUGACCAAAACCAUCAGUCUUCUAAACACAAAUCGUACUGUUUUGGAAGGUUUGGGAAACAUUUAGCCCCGGGCGAUCAGCUUUAUGCAAGUUCCUGUACUCUUUUACCUUUGGUUAAAGCAAGUCUGUAGUCACACGACAGUCAGAGCUUGUUUGUACCAUGUAUUGCAUCAAAAUAUUUGUCAUUAUUUGUAGAAUAGACUGAUCUGAGAAGUUUUUUCUGUCUGCUAUUUUUAUCAAGUUAUACAGAUGACAAGAUCCCCACCCUCUAAUUAUAAAACAUAUAUUUACGAUAUCGUCUGCUCGGCCAGAGACAUAAGCCUAAAGCACACACGGUACAAAUAUAAUUUCAGUAAUAAUACAUGCGAACUCCUUAUAGAACAGUAAUGACGCUUAGUGGAAUGGCUGUAGAGCAUGUUGUAUGAAGGUGUCGUGUGAAUACCAAAGGAUAGCCACGUGCUGUCAAUGUAACCCCUUCAUCUAACGAUGGGCUAUUGAAUGCGUAACGCAGCACCCCUUCGAACUAUAUUUACUCACAAACAUCGUCGCUGUAAUUUGCAGAUAGUUGAAACAUUUCUGCUCCCACCCAGAGUCUCCGCCCUGUUCGAUAGUCUGCUGCUACACUCGUCCCUGUCACAGCUGCACGCACGGGAGCCCAACAAACCUUCCCUGCGGCGGCCGGGGCUCUCACAGCCACAGUGCACAAAUGCUCUAA
Mauremys reevesii (Reeves's turtle) is the source of this 3463-nucleotide RNA transcript. It is a transcript of the gene named trehalase, with no coding region annotated. The transcript is spliced from 18 exons. NCBI's taxonomy places the organism in Eukaryota, Metazoa, Chordata, Testudines, Geoemydidae. The record is from RefSeq and is a predicted model, not a curated record.